This 726-nucleotide ribosomal RNA is filed under the name uncultured Rhizophagus. RNAcentral describes it as "SSU rRNA". It matches the Rfam family "Eukaryotic small subunit ribosomal RNA", at positions 373 to 1112 of the family's 1831-position model. The record is from RNAcentral. Lineage: Eukaryota; Fungi; Glomeromycota; Glomeromycetes; Glomerales; Glomeraceae.
UAGGGCACGACACCGGAGAGGGAGCCUGAGAAACGGCUACCACAUCCAAGGAUGGCAGCAGGCGCGCAAAUUACCCAAUCCCGACACGGGGAGGUAGUGACAAUAAAUAACAAUACGGGGUUCUUUCGGAUUUCGUAAUUGGAAUGAGUACAAUUUAAAUCUCUUAACGAGGAACAAUUGGAGGGCAAGUCUGGUGCCAGCAGCCGCGGUAAUUCCAGCUCCAAUAGCGUAUAUUAAAGUUGUUGCAGUUAAAAAGCUCGUAGUUGAAUUUCGGGACCAUCAUGUCGGUCGUGCCUCGGUACGUACUGGCAUUGUUGGUUUCUCCCUUCUGACGAACCAUGAUGUCAUUUAUUUGGUGUUGUGGGAAAUCAGGACUGUUACUUUGAAAAAAUUAGAGUGUUUAAAGCAGGCUCACGCUUGAAUACAUUAGCAUGGAAUAAUGAAAUAGGACGUUUGAUUCUAUUUUGUUGGUUUCUAGGAUCGACGUAAUGAUUAAUAGGGAUAGUUGGGGGCAUUAGUAUUCAAUUGUCAGAGGUGAAAUUCUUGGAUUUAUUGAAGACUAACUACUGCGAAAGCAUUUGCCAAGGAUGUUUUCAUUAAUCAAGAACGAAAGUUAGGGGAUCGAAGACGAUCAGAUACCGUCGUAGUCUUAACCAUAAACUAUGCCGACUAGGGAUCGGAUGAUGUUAAUUUUUUAAUGACUCAUUCGGCGCCYUACGGAACCUG